CCUACGGGAGACAGCAGUGAGGAAUAUUGGUCAAUGGGCGUAAGCCUGAACCAGCCAAGCCGCGUGAGGGAUGAAGGUUCUAUGGAUCGUAAACCUCUUUUAUAAGGGAAUAAAGUGUGGGACGUGUCCUGUUUUGUAUGUACCUUAUGAAUAAGGAUCGGCUAACUCCGUGCCAGCAGCCGCGGUAAUACGGAGGAUCCGAGCGUUAUCCGGAUUUAUUGGGUUUAAAGGGUGCGUAGGCGGGCUUUUAAGUCAGCGGUGAAAGUCUGUGGCUCAACCAUAGAAUUGCCGUUGAAACUGGCAGGCUUGAGUAGGUUAGAGGCAGGCGGAAUGCGAGGUGUAGCGGUGAAAUGCUUAGAUAUCACGCAGAACCCCGAUUGCGAAGGCAGCCUGCCGAGCCAUGACUGACGCUGAGGCACGAAAGCGUGGGGAUCAAACAGGAUUAGAUACCCCUGUAGUC
This 460-nucleotide ribosomal RNA is filed under the name uncultured bacterium. RNAcentral describes it as "partial 16S ribosomal RNA". It matches the Rfam family "Bacterial small subunit ribosomal RNA", at positions 338 to 795 of the family's 1533-position model. The record is from RNAcentral.